Molecule: transfer RNA, 72 nt
Filed under: Perkinsus olseni
Lineage: Eukaryota; Perkinsozoa; Perkinsida; Perkinsidae
Description: tRNA-Ala
Rfam family: tRNA
About the family: Transfer RNA (tRNA) molecules are approximately 80 nucleotides in length. Their secondary structure includes four short double-helical elements and three loops (D, anti-codon, and T loops). Further hydrogen bonds mediate the characteristic L-shaped molecular structure. tRNAs have two regions of fundamental functional importance: the anti-codon, which is responsible for specific mRNA codon recognition, and the 3' end, to which the tRNAs corresponding amino acid is attached (by aminoacyl-tRNA synthetases). tRNAs cope with the degeneracy of the genetic code in two manners: having more than one tRNA (with a specific anti-codon) for a particular amino acid; and 'wobble' base-pairing, i.e. permitting non-standard base-pairing at the 3rd anti-codon position.
Source: RNAcentral
GGGCGUGUAGUGUGGAGGUAUCACGUCUGCUUCGCACGCAGAAGGCCUCGAGUUCAAUUCUCGGUACGUCCA